AAUUUUAACAGUAAACUUUGUAACUAACUAAAAUGACACGUAAAUUUCAUAUCAUUACUUCGCCUCUACUCGUAGCUCUUGCAUGCCUUCUUCCCUCAUUGCAUCCACAAUAGGUUCCAUCAGAAUUAAAUUAAAGCUUGAAACAGCUUAAUGUAAAGUAACAAAUGAAAGUACUACCAACAAGAGUCGUAGUAGAGUGGUAAGCAGAGGCGGAUCCACGUGGAUUCUAGGGGAUUUGUUCAAAUCCCCUAAGCAAAAAAUUACACGACAUCUAUAAGAGGAAAAUUCUGGAUCCGUCACUGUGGUAAGUAUUCCUUCAUCCUUAACUAGAGAUUUCAAGUUUGCGUCCCUCUGAAUACGAAAUUGUCUUUGUUAGGAAGCCUUUUAACCCUAACGUGGGACUUCCCGAUGAACGAGUACUAUUCAGUGCAGGUUGUGGCUUGGGACACAAAUUUUGGACACCAACAAAUAACUUGUCGAACAUAUAAAACAUAUCAUGUCCAAUCUGUAACGCAAGUGGUCUAUGUAUUGCAACUUGCAAGUGUCAGUUAACUUA
Long non-coding RNA from Solanum tuberosum (potato), 556 nucleotides. RefSeq lists it as uncharacterized. The record is from RefSeq and is a predicted model, not a curated record. Lineage: Eukaryota; Viridiplantae; Streptophyta; Magnoliopsida; Solanales; Solanaceae. The transcript has 2 exons.